UAGUCCACACCGUAAACGAUGAAUGCCAGACGUCGGGGGGCUUGCCCUUCGGUGUCACGCCUAACGGAUUAAGCAUUCCGCCUGGGGAGUACGGUCGCAAGACUGAAACUCAAAGGAAUUGACGGGGACCCGCACAAGCGGUGGAGCAUGUGGUUUAAUUCGAGGCAACGCGAAGAACCUUACCAGCCCUUGACAUACUGGUCGCGGAUUUCAGAGAUGAUUUCCUUCAGCUUGGCUGGACCAUGUACAGGUGCUGCACGGCUGUCGUCAGCUCGUGUCGUGAGAUGUUGGGUUAAGUCCCGCAACGAGCGCAACCCUCAUCCUUAGUUGCUAACAUUCAGUUGAGAACUCUAAGGAAACUGCCGGUGAUAAACCGGAGGAAGGUGGGGAUGACGUCAAGUCUUCAUGGCCCUUAUGGGGCUGGGGCUACACACGUGCUACAAUGGCGAUGACAAA
This 456-nucleotide ribosomal RNA is filed under the name uncultured bacterium. RNAcentral's name for it is "bacterial SSU rRNA". It matches the Rfam family "Bacterial small subunit ribosomal RNA", at positions 791 to 1243 of the family's 1533-position model. The record is from RNAcentral.